RNAcentral lists this ribosomal RNA (253 nucleotides) under uncultured bacterium. RNAcentral describes it as "partial 16S ribosomal RNA". It matches the Rfam family "Bacterial small subunit ribosomal RNA", at positions 524 to 776 of the family's 1533-position model. The record is from RNAcentral.
UACGUAGGGGGCAAGCGUUGUCCGGAAUCAUUGGGCGUAAAGAGCGUGUAGGCGGCCAGAAAAGUCCGCUGUGAAAACUCGAGGCUCAACUUCGAGCUGUCGGUGGAAACUUUCUGGCUAGAGUCCGGAAGAGGAGAGUGGAAUUCCUGGUGUAGCGGUGAAAUGCGUAGAUAUCAGGAGGAACACCGGUGGCGAAGGCGGCUCUCUGGACGGUGACUGACGCUGAGACGCGAAAGCGUGGGGAGCAAACAGG